CAAGAAUUGUGUUACAAGAAAUUCAUAGCUAUAAAAACCCAAGCAAAGAUUGCAAUGACACAAACACUUGAAAUGAACAAACAUCAACUCGGCACAAAUAUAUAAGAAAAACUCUUAUUCCUCCUGAUUAUACACUAUUAUAAGAAGUUCAGUCAUGCAAUGGUACCUCUUAAUUUUGCAAAAUCACAGCUAAAAGGGAGUACUUGACUCGAAGAGAUAUUUUACCUUUGUCAACUAUAAGCCUAGCCCCGGACACUACCCAGUACCCAGGCUGGUCCUGUGGUCCUCUUGUCAUCUCUCUGGUGUCAACAAACCUCGAAAGUUUACCUGGUAGUAUGGGCACUGGAGGACCACCUGGAUAUUUAGAAGAGUUAAUGUUAACAUCAGAUGGCUCUGGAGGAGGUUUCUGUGCACUGGAGAAAAGAGUGGCAACUAAAGUAAUCAUUCCAGACGUCUGCGCGAAAUUAGGAGAACCAUCCCACUCAGGUUUUUGGAUGACCGUUGCACCAGUAACUCUGGAGAAGUGGAGGCGUAAAAAGAGGGUGUUUCCCAUAACUGAUUUUCUAAUGUAAAAUUGUGCUCCAGUAACUAUAGAGAGAUCAUCAUCAGACUCAACAGGGGCAGUGCAUACAUUUGAAAAGAUCUUCCACUGGACCUUCUCAUAAUAUUGCUGGGCAUAAAAGGAGUUAUAGUUUCCAACCGACUGAUUAUGAAGUUGAAAACUUUGUGGCGACGAGGAAAGGUGCUGCAAAUGGAUUGCCAAGCGAUUACUUCUUCUACCUUCCAAAUACAGCCGCAUGCCAGUUACCGGCUUAUUUCCAGCAUCUACCUAUCCAAAUUAUUUUCAGCCGAAAAAACUAACUAAUUAUUCAAGCAUAGAGAAUUAAGAUUGCAAUGACACAAACACUUGAAAUGAACAAACAUCAACUCGGCACAAAUAUAUAAGAAAAACUCUUAUUCCUCCUGAUUAUACACUAUUAUAAGAAGUUCAGUCAUGCAAUGGUACCUCUUAAUUUUGCAAAAUCACAGCUAAAAGGGAGUACUUGACUCGAAGAGAUAUUUUACCUUUGUCAACUAUAAGCCUAGCCCCGGACACUACCCAGUACCCAGGCUGGUCCUGUGGUCCUCUUGUCAUCUCUCUGGUGUCAACAAACCUCGAAAGUUUACCUGGUAGUAUGGGCACUGGAGGACCACCUGGAUAUUUAGAAGAGUUAAUGUUAACAUCAGAUGGCUCUGGAGGAGGUUUCUGUGCACUGGAGAAAAGAGUGGCAACUAAAGUAAUCAUUCCAGACGUCUGCGCGAAAUUAGGAGAACCAUCCCACUCAGGUUUUUGGAUGACCGUUGCACCAGUAACUCUGGAGAAAUGGAGGCGUAAAAAGAGGGUGUUUCCCAUAACUGAUUUUCUAAUGUAAAAUUGUGCUCCAGUAACUAUAGAGAGAUCAUCAUCAGACUCAACAGGGGCAGUGCAUACAUUUGAAAAGAUCUUCCACUGGACCUUCUCAUAAUAUUGCUGGGCAUAAAAGGAGUUAUAGUUUCCAACCGACUGAUUAUGAAGUUGAAAACUUUGUGGCGACGAGGAAAGGUGCUGCAAAUGGAUUGCCAAGCGAUUACUUCUUCUACCUUCCAAAUACAG
RNAcentral lists this long non-coding RNA (1633 nucleotides) under Olea europaea (common olive). Its description in RNAcentral is "long non-coding RNA (OEUR_LNC000634)". Lineage: Eukaryota; Viridiplantae; Streptophyta; Magnoliopsida; Lamiales; Oleaceae. The record is from RNAcentral.